This is a long non-coding RNA of Quercus lobata, 1303 nucleotides long. RefSeq lists it as uncharacterized. The record is from RefSeq and is a predicted model, not a curated record. NCBI's taxonomy places the organism in Eukaryota, Viridiplantae, Streptophyta, Magnoliopsida, Fagales, Fagaceae. The transcript is spliced from 7 exons.
AGGAGAAACAGAGACCGAGAGAAAAGAGAGACAAAAAAAUAGAGAGGCAGAGAACGGAGAAGGAGAGAGAGAUCGAGAGAUCAAAAACUACAGUUUGCAAUCAAGAAUAAAAGAUGUCUCUCCCUUCCUAUCAGAUUUUCUGCCAUCACCGUAAACCUCCACUUGCUACCCGACCAUCAAAAUCUCUACUGAUUUGGUUUUGAUUAAGGGAUACGAAGAUAGAGGAACCAAGUAGAGUUCGUAGCGAUACUGCGAUACAGAGAAAGGGAAGGAGAAAAAAAAAAGAUUGCGGCACAGUGAGGAUUUGCUAAUUCUUUCCCUGGAAUAAGAAGAAGUAAGGAAGAUGAAGCGACAAGAAUGAAGAGGAGUCAUACCCCGCCCAUUACGACAUGCUUUUGAUGGUAAGUUGCGGAGACAAGUAGAGAAUCUGUCAUGUAGCCAGAACCACUACAGAGAGCAAAGAGUAGGGAGGCAAUGAGACAUGAGAGAAUCAGAAGUGUUACCAACAAAGGAUGCAAUUUCAACAUGAUUGGUAAACCCAAUGCGGCUAGCUAAUCUUCUUUACAAGAUAGCCUUUAUUGUCUACAACAAUCUGUCAUUAACAUAGAUUGAACACCACAAUGGACAUUAAUGUUACACAAAUUAUACCAAGGAGACCACAUGAAGUACAGGAUGGAGAACUUUCCUUGCAUAAUGGAAAAUCAGUAUCUUAAAUAAAGGACUUGGAGUGGAACUUAGAGACAAAGGUAUCAAAGGAUACAUGUCCAAGUAGAAAGUAAAACCGAUUCAACAACAUUCAUUUCGUUUGACAAAGCGACUGAGAAAUUUGUAUCUAAGAUUGUAAAAGAACUUGCAGAGAUAUAAGCAGAGCUUAUAAACCUGCUGAAGAUGGAAAGUGAGAAGAUGAUAGCAUGCUUAUUCAAAUGCUUCGCAAACGAAACAAUGCUACUAAACAAAAAGCAUCAAAGAAGAAGAAAAAUUGAAGGAGGAAAAAUAGCAACUACAGAAUUCAAUUUAAUUUUCAAUUUUUGUUUUUCCUCCUACGUGUUCUACUAUUUUUAAAGAGUGAUUGAAAUUGUGGAACUUUGAAAUCUGAAAGUGUAAUGUUAUUUAUACAAAGUUGAUUAUUUCAUAGAUUUUAGUCAAUAUUUCACCCUAUCUGCAUAAUUAUGAGGGUUAGCUACUUUAAACUUUUAUUUUAAUGGUAGACAAUUGUAGAAAAUGUAUUUUGUUGUUGUAAUUUUAUGGUUGCUGGUGGGUGAAUUUUCAAUAAUAAAACAAUGAAUGUGAUUGCUAUUAAGUU